GAAGACUUCUCAAGGGAGCCACAAGUAGAACGUGAACUGAUGCUUAUCAAACUUAAUGCAUAUCCAAGUAUCCCUCCAGAGAAAUACAUUCGGGUGAGAGCGGGUCCAAGAGGUGUUUUCAAAUAAAAGUUAUCUCCAGUGGCUUUGGUGCAUUGAAUUAGUGGAGCAUUUAAACAGAGAUACAAACAGAAUUACUGCAUUACUAAGUUUUAAGAUUUUUGGAGGACUACAACAUAUCAAGUAUGGAGGGAAUUGAUAGAAGCGAUAUGUCAGAGGUUGGCAAUGAAGAAGUUGACUUUGGACAAACAAAUGUUCACAAUUUUCAACAGUCAGACCCAAGGUAUCGUAGGAGUAAUCAACAAAGGCAAAAUCAUAGGAGCAAUCAACAAAGACAAAGACGACAAUCUAUGAAUUCAUCACAGCGGGCUCGAAUUUCAAUACGACGACGUGCCAAUUAUCAAACCUGCUUGAACUCAAUCAAUAUAGU
Pyrus x bretschneideri (Chinese white pear) is the source of this 487-nucleotide long non-coding RNA. RefSeq lists it as uncharacterized. NCBI's taxonomy places the organism in Eukaryota, Viridiplantae, Streptophyta, Magnoliopsida, Rosales, Rosaceae. The transcript is spliced from 5 exons. The record is from RefSeq and is a predicted model, not a curated record.